GACGAACGCUGGCGGCGUGCUUAACACAUGCAAGUCGAACGGUGAAAGCGGAGCUUGCUCCGCUGGAUCAGUGGCGAACGGGUGAGUAACACGUGGGCAACCUGCCCCUCACUUCGGGGUAACUCUGGGAAACCGGGGCUAAUACCGGAUAUGACCUCCUUGGGCAUCCUUGGAGGUGGAAAGUUUUUCGGUGAGGGAUGGGCCCGCGGCCUAUCAGCGCGUUGGUGAGGUAGUGGCUCACCAAGGCGACGACCGGUAGCCGGCCUGAGAGGGCGACCGGCCACACUGGGACUGAGACACGGCCCAGACUCCUACGGGAGGCAGCAGUGGGGAAUAUUGCGCAAUGGGCGAAAGCCUGACGCAGCAACGCCGCGUGCGGGAUGACGGCCUUCGGGUUGUAAACCGCUUUCAGCAGGGAAGAAGCCGCAAGGUGACGGUACCUGCAGAAGAAGCACCGGCUAACUACGUGCCAGCAGCCGCGGUAA
Molecule: ribosomal RNA, 485 nt
Filed under: uncultured bacterium
Lineage: Bacteria
Description: partial 16S ribosomal RNA
Rfam family: Bacterial small subunit ribosomal RNA
Source: RNAcentral